RNAcentral lists this ribosomal RNA (1149 nucleotides) under Triticum aestivum (bread wheat). RNAcentral describes it as "partial small subunit ribosomal RNA". Lineage: Eukaryota; Viridiplantae; Streptophyta; Magnoliopsida; Poales; Poaceae. The record is from RNAcentral.
GUAUUUAGUUGGGCUUAGCCAUGCUUCCUUUUUAUUGGGUCGGGGCUGAGACGUAGCAGUGCGAGGCGGGGCGGAGUGGCGCGCGGCGGUCGGCGAAGGACGGUGCGGGGCUGGGCGGGGUGGAGUGGCCCGCGGCGGCCGGUGGAGGACGGAGGGUGGGGCCUCUUGCCGCUGUCCGCCGACGGUUGCCUCCCUAGGUCCGCCUCCUCCCAAUCUCUCCGCACGCCUUCCGGAUGCUCCAAACCCCCGCGGUCUAGAUCUCAAGCGCCAGGCCGCCGCAGUUUCGAGCCCGGCCUAGCUCUCCUGACCGGUACCGCUCCACCGUCACUGGUACCGCAGCCGUUACUACCGUUCUGAGCCGAUGCCCAGGAUUAGUCUCCCCCUUUGUUUCCCUUUUCAACGCCGCUGAGUGCCACUUGAGCUGCCGCUCCAGCCCCUCCGUCGUUGCCGUUCCAUUAGCUGCUACUUCCUGCCACGGCCUGAACCUCAACCUCCUACUACCGCUGCCGAAGUCCCGCUUAGGCCGGCUCAGGAACGCGCCCCUUCCUCUAAAGUUCCAACGCCUGGAGGACCUGUUCCAACAAAGGACGCCCCUCCGGCCAUCGGCACGAACACCACCAGGAGGACACCCGACGUUAAACGUGGCACUCAGGCAGCCAGGAUCGAGGUCGACGUGGCACCGUAGUGCCGCGACCUCGCCGCGCCGAGUUCUACCGUUACCCCGGGGCUUUGGGCGCAGGGGCGCCCAAAAAUGGGAUAAUCCCCUGCCCCUACCCGCAGAAAAAUUGGGGUACCCCGACGACGACCCAUUUAAUAUUUUGGGUUGUACAAAGUGCCCAAAUUUGGGCAAACUCGUUAUGGGCUUGGGCUUUGGGCGGUAGGGGCAGUUUUAUGAUGUGAUUCGGAUUAACCUGUAGAACAACUUGUUACAUACCGACUUAUUACGAAAACAAACAACGACUAUAUACGAAUACAUCGACGACAAUGACGAGAAACAUCGACUACAAUAACGAGAAAAAAGAGUUCAAUACGGCGUAUUUAUACGAGGAACAUCGACGACAAUAACGAGAAAAACGAGUUCAAGACGAUGACUUUAUACGAGGAACAUCGAUAACUUGGUACAUGAUAACAUAGGACGACUUUAAAAGC